UACGUAGGGCGCAAGCGUUGUCCGGAAUUAUUGGGCGUAAAGAGCUCGUAGGCGGCUUGUCACGUCGGGUGUGAAAGCUCGGGGCUUAACCCCGGGUCUGCAUUCGAUACGGGCUGGCUGGAGUGUGGUAGGGGAGAUCGGAAUUCCUGGUGUAGCGGUGAAAUGCGCAGAUAUCAGGAGGAACACCGAUGGCGAAGGCAGCACUCUGGGACGGUACUGACGCUGAGACGCGAAAGCGUGGGGAGCAAACAGG
This 253-nucleotide ribosomal RNA is filed under the name uncultured bacterium. RNAcentral's name for it is "partial 16S ribosomal RNA". It matches the Rfam family "Bacterial small subunit ribosomal RNA", at positions 524 to 776 of the family's 1533-position model. The record is from RNAcentral.